This 74-nucleotide transfer RNA is filed under the name Bacteroidota bacterium. RNAcentral describes it as "tRNA-Pro". It matches the Rfam family "tRNA". From Rfam's summary of the family: Transfer RNA (tRNA) molecules are approximately 80 nucleotides in length. Their secondary structure includes four short double-helical elements and three loops (D, anti-codon, and T loops). Lineage: Bacteria; Pseudomonadati; Bacteroidota. RNAcentral also lists the same sequence under 2 other names. The record is from RNAcentral.
CGAGGUGUAGCGCAGCUGGCUAGCGCACCUGCUUUGGGAGCAGGGGGUCGCAGGUUCGAAUCCUGCCACUUCGA